This is a non-coding RNA of Ataeniobius toweri, 83 nucleotides long. The record is from the annotation of a GenBank genome assembly. Lineage: Eukaryota; Metazoa; Chordata; Actinopteri; Cyprinodontiformes; Goodeidae.
UGCAUGGUGGCACAGUUGGUAGCACUGUUGCCUUACUGUUGCCUUGUCCUGGGUUCAACUCCCGGCCAGGGGUCUUUCUGCAU